Molecule: transfer RNA, 73 nt
Filed under: Planctomycetales bacterium
Lineage: Bacteria; Pseudomonadati; Planctomycetota; Planctomycetia; Planctomycetales
Also listed under: 1 other name
Description: tRNA-Ala
Rfam family: tRNA
About the family: Transfer RNA (tRNA) molecules are approximately 80 nucleotides in length. Their secondary structure includes four short double-helical elements and three loops (D, anti-codon, and T loops).
Source: RNAcentral
GGGGACGUAGCUCAAUUGGGAGAGCACCAGCUUUGCAAGCUGGGGGUUAGGGGUUCGAUCCCCCUCGUCUCCA